RNAcentral lists this ribosomal RNA (468 nucleotides) under uncultured bacterium. Its description in RNAcentral is "partial 16S ribosomal RNA". It matches the Rfam family "Bacterial small subunit ribosomal RNA", at positions 28 to 507 of the family's 1533-position model. The record is from RNAcentral.
GACGAACGCUGGCGGCGUGCUUAACACAUGCAAGUCGAACGGAAAGGCCCUGCUUUUGUGGGGUGCUCGAGUGGCGAACGGGUGAGUAACACGUGAGUAACCUGCCCUUGACUUUGGGAUAACUUCAUGAAACUGGGGCUAAUACCGGAUAGGAGCUCCUGCUGCAUGGUGGGGGUUGGAAAGUUUCGGCGGUUGGGGAUGGACUCGCGGCUUAUCAGCUUGUUGGUGGGGUAGUGGCUUACCAAGGCUUUGACGGGUAGCCGGCCUGAGAGGGUGACCGGCCACAUUGGGACUGAGAUACGGCCCAGACUCCUACGGGAGGGAGCAGUGGGGAAUAUUGCACAAUGGGAGGAAGCAUGAUGCAGCAACGCCGCGUGCGGGAUGACGGCCUUCGGGUUGUAAACCGCUUUCGCCUGUGACGAAGCGUGAGUGACGGUAAUGGGUAAAGAAGCACCGGCUAACUACGUG